AAAACAAAGUUGAUACCAAUUGUAAAAAUAAAUAAAUAAAUAGAAGUGAAUAAACAACCUUUUCCACCCAUCCAUCCUUGUGCUCCACAAUAUAUGGAUUGUUAAGCUUCGCAAUCAAAUUCAUCU
This is a long non-coding RNA of Hibiscus syriacus, 126 nucleotides long. RefSeq lists it as uncharacterized. The transcript is spliced from 4 exons. NCBI's taxonomy places the organism in Eukaryota, Viridiplantae, Streptophyta, Magnoliopsida, Malvales, Malvaceae. The record is from RefSeq and is a predicted model, not a curated record.